This 254-nucleotide ribosomal RNA is filed under the name uncultured bacterium. RNAcentral describes it as "partial 16S ribosomal RNA". It matches the Rfam family "Bacterial small subunit ribosomal RNA", at positions 524 to 776 of the family's 1533-position model. The record is from RNAcentral.
UACGGGGGGAGCAAGCGUUGUUCGGAUUUACUGGGCGUAAAGGGCGCGCAGGCGGUCGUGACAAGUCACUUGUGAAAUCUCCGGGCUUAACUCGGAACGGUCAAGUGAUACUGUCGGACUAGAGUACAGAAGGGGCAACUGGAAUUCUCGGUGUAGCGGUGAAAUGCGUAGAUAUCGAGGGGAACACCUGCGGCGAAGGCGGGUUGCUGGGCUGAUACUGACGCUGAGGCGCGAAAGCCAGGGGAGCGAACGGG